UUUGCUUAUAUUAUUAAUAUAUGAGAAUAUCUAUCAUUGAUUUAAGAUUAUUUUUUUCUGUGUGUAAUUCGCGAUCCUGGUAUUAUUUCACGCGUGUAAAAUGAAAUUGCAAUUAUACAGCGAGUCGUAAAAUUUCCCAACGAAGAUCUAAACCGCCGAGUUGGCGGCAUUUCUCAGAAACGUUAUUACGUACACUAAAAUACAAUUAUACAGCGGGUCGUAAAAUUUUCCAACGGAAAUCUGAACCUUGGCGACGUUCCCUUCCUGAGAAUUGUUAUUGGGUAUGUGUGUUUAGAAACGGAGGAAGAUUUUAAGAACGAACGAAGUUACCUAUUAACGAUUGCGAUUCGAGAUCCAUAUUAUUUCACAUGUGCAAAAUAAUUGCAAUUGUACAGCGGAUCACUAAAUAUCCCAACGAAAAUCUAAACCGCUGAGUUGGCGACUUCUCCUUCCUGAGAAUCGUUAUUACGUAAUCUCGAAUUUUAUAUUCGCGUGUGAUCUAUGAGACUGUGCAAUUAUGCUUUGAAGUGGCUGAGGAAAAAAAACCGACGGCAACAGGAAUGAAAGAGAGAGAGAGAGAGAGAGAGAGGCGACGGCACGUGUGCUCUUGACACUCGACUGAUUUUGCACUGAUAAACUAAAUACCACGUCGAGACAAAGACGCCACCGUUGCAAUAAAGGUUAAUUUAUCCGCAUUGCGUUACGGAGGACAAAGAAAUGUCGCUGAACACCUGGCAAACGCUCAUGAGAGUUCUUUCAAGCGAGGCCCCCGUGGACGUUCGGACGCAGCUCGGACAGAACAUUGAUCUUCGUCGUGAGUCAAGCGAGAUCAAUUACAGUCUCAUCGAUCGGUAUACGUUCGUUACAUCACCGAUGCGGAGAUGCGGAAUACGUCAUCGCGAAGUCAUCGCGGCUUCGCGAAGACGUAGAAGCCGUCCCAACGUUUCACGGAGCCCCGUUCGAGUGCUGAUAACGUCAGACGAUUAGGAUAAAAGUUCCCUAAUGAUAGCAGAAGCCAAUUUUUUUAAAAAAUUAUAAAAUGUAAGGUGAUUGAAAAUAGUACGAUAAUAUUUUUUGAAAAUUGUAAACAAGUAUUAAAAAAGUGUUAGCAUUCAUGUGGUAUAUAAUUUAUCAGACAUUAAACUUUUUUACAAUUAAAGAAUGUUUUCAAGCACUUAACUUUAAUUUUGUUCUUUCUCUAACUGAAUAUACUGAAUAUACGAAGCAUGCACACAAUGCAAAGAUUCGUGAACAAUAUUUUCUUCAUAUCUUAGUACAAUGUUGACAUUUUCUUACUCAAAAUAAGACUUCAUAUUUAAUUGUCCGAUAAAAUAUGUAUCCUAAUUAUUUUUCAUGAGGAAAAAUAGAUAUUGGCAAAAGAGUUCAA
Molecule: long non-coding RNA, 1387 nt
Organism: Dinoponera quadriceps
Lineage: Eukaryota; Metazoa; Arthropoda; Insecta; Hymenoptera; Formicidae
Exons: 2
Source: RefSeq, a predicted model, not a curated record